UUUACUGCUGUCGCAGCCCUUGCCGAUACAGAGUCUGAAAGACAAAGACAUGGAUGCAGCUCCCUUAGCUGUGGAGAAACAAUCCCACUGUGCUGUAGUGGAGGAGUUUCAUACUGCAUUUUGAGUAAGCCACCCCAUCAAUUAUCCAUGCCUGUACACUGUCUGGCAACAUCCCCUUUUACCUACCCUAAAUAAUAAUUUGAUAUUCAUAGGUAUUUGGGAUGGAAAGGCAUAAAACUAGCUGUGCUUUGCCCGAUUGUUUUAUGCUUAAUGCUACAAAAAAUAUUAAACAAGGGGUCGCGCUCUAAUACGAUCCGUGUCUUUUUCCGUCUAUCAUUCGGCACCAGAGACCUGCGUUUAGAAAGAAACCCCUCGCAUACACCCGAGGAACAUUUGAAGGAGGAAGGCCGGAAAAAAAGAAAAAGGGAAGUCUGACACGGAGGGCGCAGGGCUAAUGCGGAGCUGCGAGUCCGAGAUGCGCAGCACCCCAACACAGUUGCCUCGGCGUCUGUAGCAACGCGCUCCUGCUCGCGGGGUGACUGCUCGGCAGAGGCGGAGCAGCCUGGGGGGCUCUGCUGCGGGCCAAGGCACUCGCAUCCCGGCCGAGCCGGCCCUCGGCGGAGCGUCCGCCGCCGCGCGGGGCCUGCCCUGGCGCCGCGCCCAUGUGACCGGGGAGGCGGGCCUUGCGCCGCCGCCGCGACCCUGCGGGGAGCGGACACGACAACGAGGUCGCUGGCUUUUUCGGGUUUUGUUGAAAAUAUACGGAGCGCCGCACGUGAACGACGGGCCCUCGUCUGCGCCCCUCCUUCCGCGGGGGAGGAGCUGGCCCAGCCCGGAGCCCCGAGCGCGGACCGAGGGGCGGAGCACGUGGGGCCGGGCCGGGCCGCUUCAUCCAUCCCGGGCCAGCGCGCUGCCAGGAAGAAGAAUGGUAUAACUGCCCCCUGGGCUCCAGGUAAUAUUACUAGCUUUUGAAGCAAUGGAGUACACCUUAAUAUUGUUUCCACUUGCCUCCUAACUAAUGAAAGUGCUGCUGUAUAAGAAUAUAUAUGACAAGUGCUUGUGCUAAAGACGUUUCUUGGUCCUGAAAGUGCGUGUCCUCAGAUCAUAUUGCAAGUUUGACAUCUUGAGAAAUAAAUGGGAGUAUAAUGUAUGCCA
This 1155-nucleotide long non-coding RNA is filed under the name Crocodylus porosus (Australian saltwater crocodile). RNAcentral describes it as "lncRNA (ENSCPRG00005004623.1)". The record is from RNAcentral. Lineage: Eukaryota; Metazoa; Chordata; Crocodylia; Crocodylidae.